UUAAUCAAGAACGAAAGUUAGAGGUUCGAAGGCGAUCAGAUACCGCCCUAGUUCUAACCAUAAACGAUGCCAACCAGCGAUCAGCGAGCGUUCCUCCAAUGACGCUGCUGGCAACUUCCGGGAAACCAAAGUAUUUGGGUUCCAGGGGAAGUAUGGUUGCAAAGCUGAAACUUAAAGGAAUUGACGGAAGGGCACCACCAGGAGUGGAGCCUGCGGCUUAAUUUGACUCAACACGGGAAACCUCACCCGGCCCGGACACUGGAAGGAUUGACAGAUUGAGAGCUCUUUCUUGAUUUAGUGGAUGGUGGUGCAUGGCCGUUCUUAGUUGGUGGAGCGAUUUGUCUGGUUAAUUCCGAUAACGAACGAGACUCUGGCCUAUUAAAUAGAAGGUCGAUAACAUGCAGUCGACCAGCUCUUCUUAGAGGGACAGGCGGCUUUUAGCCGCACGAAAUAGAGCAAUAACAGGUCUGUGAUGCCCUUAGAUGUCCGGGGCCGCACGCGGGCUACACUGAAGGAAUCAGCUGGUGACAUCCCUAUGCCGUAAGGACUGGGUAAUCCGCUGAAACUCCUUCAUGAUAGGGACUGGGGCUUGAAAUUCUUGCCC
This 604-nucleotide ribosomal RNA is filed under the name Narceus americanus. Its description in RNAcentral is "SSU rRNA". It matches the Rfam family "Eukaryotic small subunit ribosomal RNA", at positions 973 to 1598 of the family's 1831-position model. Lineage: Eukaryota; Metazoa; Arthropoda; Diplopoda; Spirobolida; Spirobolidae. The record is from RNAcentral.